RNAcentral lists this ribosomal RNA (301 nucleotides) under uncultured bacterium. Its description in RNAcentral is "partial 16S ribosomal RNA". It matches the Rfam family "Bacterial small subunit ribosomal RNA", at positions 509 to 807 of the family's 1533-position model. The record is from RNAcentral.
CAGUAGCCGCGGGAAUACGUAGGGUGCAAGCGUUAAUCGGAAUUACUGGGCGUAAAGCGUGCGCAGGCGGUUUGUUAAGACAGAUGUGAGAUCCCCGGGCUCAACCUGGGAACUGCACUUGUGACUGGCAAGCUAGAGUGUGGCAGAGGGGGGUGGAAUUCCGCGUGUAGCAGUGAAAUGCGUAGAUAUGCGGAGGAACACCGAUGGCGAAGGCAGCCCCCUGGGCCAACACUGACGCUCAUGCACGAAAGCGUGGGGAGCAAACAGGAUUAGAUACCCCGGUAGUCCCUGUCUCUUAUAC